GACCACGCCUGUGGCCUAGUGAUUAGAGCGUCCGCCUCGGAUGCUGGAGGUCUCGGGUUCGAACCCCAGUUGAGUCA
Molecule: non-coding RNA, 77 nt
Organism: Potamilus streckersoni
Lineage: Eukaryota; Metazoa; Mollusca; Bivalvia; Unionida; Unionidae
Source: the annotation of a GenBank genome assembly